RNAcentral lists this ribosomal RNA (497 nucleotides) under uncultured bacterium. RNAcentral describes it as "partial 16S ribosomal RNA". It matches the Rfam family "Bacterial small subunit ribosomal RNA", at positions 29 to 507 of the family's 1533-position model. The record is from RNAcentral.
AGUGAACGCUGGCGGUAUGCCUAACACAUGCAAGUCGAACGGACGGACAGUAAGAGCUCGCUUUUGAGGGUAGCGCGUGACGGAUGGGUGAGGAAUAGAUAGGAUUCUAAUUAUUCGUGGGGGAUUUCGUAGGACAACUUACACUAAUACCGCAUACUACCUACGGGUGAAUGCAGAGGUUAUACAUACCUUGCGCGAUUGAAUGAGACGGAGCCGUGUUAGAUUGGUGAGUUGGUAAGGGAACGGCACACCAAGGAAACGAUGCAUAGCUGAGCUGAGAGGAUGAUCCGCCACACUGGAACUGAGACACGGUCCAGACUCCUACGGGAGGCAGCAGUAGGGAAUAUUCCGCAAUGGGCGCAAGCCUGACCCAGCCAUGCCGCGUGGGUGAAGAAGGUCUUCGGUUUGUAAAGCCCUUUUGUUAGGAAAGAAAAGCUGCAGAUUAAUCUGCGCCUGUCUUGACGUUACCCAAAGAAUAAGCAACGGCUAACUUCGUG